CAGUCGCCGCGGGAAAACGGAGGAUCCAAGCGUUAUCCGGAUUUAUUGGGUUUAAAGGGUGCGUAGGUGGCCUGUUAAGUCAGGGGUGAAAGACGGUAGCUUAACUACCGCAGUGCCCUUGAUACUGAUGGGCUUGAAUGAACUAGAGGUAGGCGGAAUGUGACGAGUAGCGGUGAAAUGCAUAGAUAUGUCACAGAACACCGAUUGCGAAGGCAGCUUACUAUGGUUUUAUUGACACUGAGGCACGAAAGCGUGGGGAUCAAACAGGAUUAGAGACCCCGGUAGUCCCUGUCUCUUAUAC
This 301-nucleotide ribosomal RNA is filed under the name uncultured bacterium. RNAcentral describes it as "partial 16S ribosomal RNA". It matches the Rfam family "Bacterial small subunit ribosomal RNA", at positions 509 to 807 of the family's 1533-position model. The record is from RNAcentral.